RNAcentral lists this transfer RNA (75 nucleotides) under Candidatus Harrisonbacteria bacterium RIFCSPHIGHO2_01_FULL_44_13. RNAcentral's name for it is "tRNA-Glu". It matches the Rfam family "tRNA". From Rfam's summary of the family: Transfer RNA (tRNA) molecules are approximately 80 nucleotides in length. RNAcentral also lists the same sequence under 1 other name. The record is from RNAcentral. Lineage: Bacteria; Candidatus Harrisoniibacteriota.
GGCCUCAUCGUCUAAUGGCUAGGACGGCGCCCUUUCACGGCGUAAAUAGGGGUUCGAUUCCCCUUGAGGCUACAA